Molecule: ribosomal RNA, 241 nt
Filed under: uncultured bacterium
Lineage: Bacteria
Description: partial 16S ribosomal RNA
Rfam family: Bacterial small subunit ribosomal RNA
Source: RNAcentral
AAUGCGGCGACGCAAAGCGGAACUUGAAAGCCUGUCUCAGUUCGGAUUGGAGUCUGCAACUCGACUCCAUGAAGCUGGAUUCGCUAGUAAUCGCGCAUCAGCCAUGGCGCGGUGAAUACGUUCCCGGGCCUUGUACACACCGCCCGUCAAGCCAUGGGAGCCGGGGGUGCUUGAAGUGCGUCGCCGCAAGGCGCGCCCUAGAGCAAAACCGGUGACUGGGGCUAAGUCGUAACAAGGUACC